GUACCCUCAAGCUCUGCUUGGUGUUGGGUGUUUGUCCUAUCCUCUGCGACUGGACUCGCCUUAAAGAUAUUGGCAGCCGGCAUUUUGGCCUUGGAGCGCAGCACAAUUUGCGAGUCCAAGCCGGAAUACUGGCGUCCAGAUAAGCUUUUUACCAC
RNAcentral lists this unclassified non-coding RNA (155 nucleotides) under uncultured Shiraia. RNAcentral describes it as "sequence contains ITS2". Lineage: Eukaryota; Fungi; Ascomycota; Dothideomycetes; Pleosporales. The record is from RNAcentral.